UUACAGCCAUAUCACGUUGAAUCCCCGAUUCUCAUGAGAUCAGUGAAGUUAAGCAGCGACAACUCUGGUCAAUACCUGGAUGGGUGACCGCUUAGGAAUGCCAGGUGCUGUAAG
Molecule: non-coding RNA, 114 nt
Organism: Acanthosepion pharaonis
Lineage: Eukaryota; Metazoa; Mollusca; Cephalopoda; Sepiida; Sepiidae
Source: the annotation of a GenBank genome assembly